Non-coding RNA from Salmo salar (Atlantic salmon), 621 nucleotides. The record is from RefSeq and is a predicted model, not a curated record. NCBI's taxonomy places the organism in Eukaryota, Metazoa, Chordata, Actinopteri, Salmoniformes, Salmonidae.
UGUUAGACGAGACCAUCUUUAAUGUUUAGGAAGACUGUUUCUCUAAAUGAAGAUAUUUUAGGGUUGCCAUGGAUUUCAAGCAGGCAAUGCCAUCAGGUCCAAACCCAAAACAAGGAAAUUGUAGGAGACAGGUGUGUUGGGGUUUCCUGCCAGCAUGACCACCCGCUUCACUUCCUGAACAUGAAAAAGGGUGAAAGUUUGUCAAAUGCAGUGAACCUGCUGAGACAUGAAGGAGGGGAUGAGAGGCCAGAACAUCAACCUCAUCUUCAUGGAGGACAUUGAUGCCAGAUGCAGUGAACCUGCUGAGAGAUGAAGGAGGGGAUGAGAGGCCAGAACAUCAGUCUCAUCUUCAUGGAGGACAUUGAUGCCAGAUGCAGUGUCACCUGUGACAGUAUUCAUAAAGAGUAGGAGAGCUGAUCUAGGAUCAGUUUAGCCUUAUAGAUCAUAAUGCAUCAGAUUACAUGGAGAGGAGGACCUGAUCCUAGAUUAUAAUGAAUCAGAUUACAUGGAGAGGGGGGACCUGAUCCUAUAUCAUAAUGAAUCAGAUUACAUGGAGAGGGGGGACCUGAUCCUAUAUCAUAAUGAAUCAGAUUACAUGGAGAGGGGGGACCUGAUCCUAGA